GCGGAAUGUGUGGUAGGUGAGCGGGGUGGGAAAACCCACUGCGGGCUGAGGCUUCUGCGGGCUUCCACCUGACACUGCACUCUUAACUAUAGAGGAAAUUCCCACGUUUGACCAGACAAAGGGACUAUUUGUUACCCGUGCAGGGAUUUGUAGCUCGGAUGGAUGUUUGCAAUUGGUACGUGUGUGUGUGUGUGUUUGUGUGGGCCCGGCCGGCUGAAGCAGUUUGACAACUUCCCCUCUGUAAACUUCAACUGGGAGUGAUGAAAGACAGCUUAGCGCAAGCAAGCCUUGCAAAGGGCUUGGUGUCUUGUGUAAAUGUGUGACGACGUCAUCACGCCUCCCUGUCAUCCCGUAAGCCGACAGGAAGGACACCAGGAAGUUGAGAGGGCCGUCGGUGUAAGAUGAUGACAGCCGUGCUUUUCCUAUGACAAGAACAAGGGGAAAAUUCAGCAACCUGUCAAUCAUUUCGAGUGACCUGGGAAAAUAUUUCAGUAUUUGCGACUUGGGAAUGAACAUAUGAUGUCCCAAUUGAGGAAGUGAAGAAAAAUAAGAAUAAAGAGAACCCCAAUUUAGCAAUAUAUUCCACAGCCAUAUAUUUCAAAAAUAAGAAACAUUUUAAAAAAUAGUUUUACCCCUCUCACACACUAAAAAAAGGUUAGUUGAUUAGAACAAACUCAUUAAAAUACUUUUUAAAGCAUUUCUUUGCAUUGCAGAUGUUCUCACUCUGAGUAGACAAAACAAUAGCUUUAAAGUCCGAGAUAUUGCGGUUAACAAUGAUAAAAAAUAUUCAUUGUUAAUCGUGUUAUUUAAUUUUAAAAGGUAUUCAUUCGGUGCAAAACAAAUUAAAUGUUGAAAUGUAUAUUAAUAGUAGUGUAUAU
This is a long non-coding RNA of Phyllopteryx taeniolatus (common seadragon), 878 nucleotides long. RefSeq lists it as uncharacterized. The transcript is spliced from 3 exons. Lineage: Eukaryota; Metazoa; Chordata; Actinopteri; Syngnathiformes; Syngnathidae. The record is from RefSeq and is a predicted model, not a curated record.